RNAcentral lists this ribosomal RNA (479 nucleotides) under uncultured bacterium. RNAcentral describes it as "partial 16S ribosomal RNA". It matches the Rfam family "Bacterial small subunit ribosomal RNA", at positions 28 to 507 of the family's 1533-position model. The record is from RNAcentral.
GACGAACGCUGGCGGCGUGCUUAACACAUGCAGGUCGAACGAAGCUUGAUUACGGAUUCUUCGGAUGAAGUAUGAUAUGACUGAGUGGCGGACGGGUGAGUAACGCGUGAGUAACCUGCCCUUCAGAGGGGGAUAGCGUUUGGAAACGAACGGUAAUACCGCAUAAUGUAUUUUGACCGCAUGAUCGAAAUACCAAAGAUUUAUCGCUGAAGGAUGGACUCGCGUCUGAUUAGGUAGUUGGUGGGGUAACGGCCUACCAAGCCGACGAUCAGUAGCCGGACUGAGAGGUUGAUCGGCCACAUUGGGACUGAGACACGGCCCAGACUCCUACGGGAGGCAGCAGUGGGGAAUAUUGCACAAUGGGCGCAAGCCUGAUGCAGCAACGCCGCGUGAAGGAAGACGGUUUUCGGAUUGUAAACUUCUGUUCUUAGUGAAGAAUAAUGACGGUAGCUAAGGAGCAAGCCACGGCUAACUACGUG